RNAcentral lists this ribosomal RNA (266 nucleotides) under uncultured bacterium. RNAcentral describes it as "partial 16S ribosomal RNA". It matches the Rfam family "Bacterial small subunit ribosomal RNA", at positions 793 to 1055 of the family's 1533-position model. The record is from RNAcentral.
GUCCACGCCGUAAACGAUGAAUGCUAGCCGUCGGUGAGCUUGCUCUUCGGUGGCGCAGCUAACGCAAUAAGCAUUCCGCCUGGGGAGUACGGUCGCAAGACUAAAACUCAAAGGAAUUGACGGGGGCCCGCACAAGCGGUGGAGCAUGUGGUUCAAUUCGACGCAACGCGAAGAACCUUACCAGGCCUUGACAUCCCGAUCGCGGCCCCUUUAAAGAGGGGCUUUCAGUUCGGCUGGAUCGGUGACAGGUGCUGCAUGGCUGUCGU